AGAGCAAUGGACCUGACAUCUAGGAUGGCCAUUUGAGGAUUUGAUUUAAGAAAUAAAAUUAUAGUGUUCUAAGAAGCCACAACUCCAUUGGUUGGAAAGAGACUAUAUAACAGAAUGCAGAGACAAAGGUUAGAUAAUAUUCCACAUUAAAGAAAUUGUUUGAGUACUGCUAAAAACAAGAUCCACAAUGCUCAGACAAGACAACCAAGAAAGCGUUUUUUAUGAAAGAAGAAUGACUGGCUUCUUUGUAUGUAUGCACAUCCUUAGAGUUUCAGGAAACCGUCCUUCUACUUAUCUUCAUAAUAACCUCACAAAUAGAGCACAUUCUAAAUUUCAAUUAUCUUUUUAAAUGUUGAAAGUGAUUUUAAAUGAUA
Molecule: long non-coding RNA, 374 nt
Filed under: Homo sapiens (human)
Lineage: Eukaryota; Metazoa; Chordata; Mammalia; Primates; Hominidae
Description: HSALNT0205077
Source: RNAcentral